AAGGCGACGAUCCCUAGCUGGUCUGAGAGGAUGACCAGUCACACUGGAACUGAGACACGGUCCAGACUCCUACGGGAGGCAGCAGUGGGGAAUUUUGGACAAUGGGCGAAAGCCUGAUCCAGCAAUGCCGCGUGCAGGAAGAAGGCCUUCGGGUUGUAAAGCUCUUUUGUCAGGGAAGAAACGGUGAGGGCUAAUAUCCCUUGCUAAUGACGGUACCUGAAGAAUAAGCACCGGCUAACUACGUGCCAGCAGCCGCGGUAAUACGUAGGGUGCAAGCGUUAAUCGGAAUUACUGGGCGUAAAGCGUGCGCAGGCGGUUUUGUAAGUCUGAUGUGAAAUCCCCGGGCUCAACCUGGGAACUGCAUCUGAUCUGGCAAGC
RNAcentral lists this ribosomal RNA (378 nucleotides) under uncultured bacterium. RNAcentral's name for it is "bacterial SSU rRNA". It matches the Rfam family "Bacterial small subunit ribosomal RNA", at positions 270 to 641 of the family's 1533-position model. The record is from RNAcentral.